Bos taurus (domestic cattle) is the source of this 2185-nucleotide long non-coding RNA. NCBI's taxonomy places the organism in Eukaryota, Metazoa, Chordata, Mammalia, Artiodactyla, Bovidae. The record is from Ensembl.
GUAAAUGCAGAAACAACCAACCACAAGUCAGACUUGAGGGUUAGACUAACAAAAGCAUAGAAAACACGCUCUGGGAGCAGAGAAGAGGAAGACUUCCUUUCCAGAGAAGGUGACUUUUGGACUGAGUAUGAAGGCAUCUGAGAACAGCAAUGUGGCAGAAGGCCUGGGAUUUUUCAGACUUCAGGGCACUCAGUUUUGCCUUUAAUGGAAAACCAACCUGGGUUGUACCAAUGGAAAGAGGUACAAGGUUGACCCUGGCAUCUGGAUACCCAAAGAAGCUGCAUGCAGGGUCUGUUUGGACAAUUCUAUAGAAAUGGUUGAUGUGGAAAGGUGCUGAAUGUCUUGGCCCCUCCAGGACUGCCCAGGUAAUUCUGACACUUUAUCACUACUCCUGGUUCUCACUGACUACACUCAGCAGAAUUCUGAUUUAAUAGUAAUUGCUAUACUUACAUGGGUCCAGGACUGUGCUAAGGUCCUUAGCCUUGCUUGCUAAGGCAUUCUGCCUUGAAAGAUGUUUUCAUCUUGUAGUGUCCUGUAAAACUUUUGUAAAAUAUUAGUUGUGACCUUUUCAUGUGAUACAUCCCCCCCCCUAUUAAGAACUACAUUUAUCUUUCUUUAAAAAAAUCCACAGUUCUUCAGCAUGGUUUAUCCCUUUCUGCUACUAGCACUACUUUACACCCAAUCCUUUUUCUUCUAAGAAUACAAGUCCUUCCAUCAGGAGGCCACAUUUUAGCCAGGGCUGGCUCUAGACGAUGUGUGGAUUCUCUACGCAGCCUCUCCCUCUGCUCGAGGAAGUUCCUUAGUUAGAUAGGUACUAUAGGCAGUAGAAGGAAAAAACUAAUUAUGACUUGGUGGAGUCUGGUCUCAGGUAUGCUCAGGUUUGUGCAAGGUCCAUUAUUCCAUGGCUGUUGUCAUUGGGAGGCUACACUUACAGAAAAGUGAUUCUGCACCCAGCACACCAGCCUGACUGUCAAACACAUCUGAAGCACGACAAGAUACAUUUUUUAAGUGCUGACACAGGGUGUGUGAGAGGACACCCAGCUGACUUAAAAGAGUGGGGCAGGGUUGUCUAGGUAAAUAAUCACUGUCAAGUUUGCCAGAUAUGACAGGUAACUCCCUAGAAGAACACCCAGGCCAUUCCUUUCAAAGUCAGGCAGUCAAGAGGCUGCUGAGUUUCCUCAACGCUGGCUACCUACUUGGGUAACAUGACUGCUCAUCAAACAGUCAAUGCUAGCGGGGAACUGUGAGUGCCAUAACAGCCACUGUUGUACCCAGGAGUUCUGUGUCUAUAAAGCUGAGUGGUCCAGAUUUGCUUCGUUUGGAAACAGGAGCCAGAAGAUGAAAUGUGCCAAUAGACAGUCAUGAGUAGUUGAUCAUGUUACUUCAGUUGAUUAUUUCAGUCUCACUACUCCUCAAUCAUGGAUGUUUUUAGAAUCUAUACAGUCAAAAUAGUUUUUGGUGUCACUGGGGUUGCUACUUUCAAGAGACACAAACUCUCACGGCAGAAGGACCUCCAUCUGAGCUACAGGCAUGGCAUUCGUAACUGCAGAGUCCCGGCAAACCGGAAAUGACACCGUCACUAGCAUGACUUUGUGUUGCUAAUACCAGGUGGCCAGUACCUGAUUGUUCCAUUUCCUCUCUUUCUCUCUGCCUCUCUAUCCAAAAAGGACUCAGCAAGAGGACAUGAACUGGAAUUAUGCUGGAAAAAACAACAAAACCCAGUUUGGUCUGGCAUAAGGAAAUACAUAUCGUCCGUAGAAAUACUAAAAAACCAAGCUAAAAACUGGCUCCAAUCCUGGGACACCACGGCUGGCAGUGCUAUACAGGAUCCGUGCCUCUACGUUCAGAUUUGAAAAGAGAAGAGAAUAUCACCAGUCUUGAGCAAGUCAGGACUUUACUUGCCUGGGGAGUUGGGGGAAGAAUGUGAAACUAAUUGUCUUCUCAAGACAUGGUAUUCUGUAGCCAUGGAAUUCUGGGAGUAGCUGGAGGAGGAGCGAGAGACUGAUCUUGAUGCCCGCAGAAGACUCAGGCUAUGUCUGCCGACCUGAUCCCAGGGCCUUCCAAAAGCAACAUGAGACUCCUGGGAAAGCUCAGAGAUUUUGCUCCAUAGUAGUCCACUCUGAUACCUAGUUCACUCCCCUAAUCUGCCCUAACAUUCCUUUUUCCAAAAGACAAGAGUCAGAAG